Non-coding RNA from Manis javanica (Malayan pangolin), 2934 nucleotides. Lineage: Eukaryota; Metazoa; Chordata; Mammalia; Pholidota; Manidae. The record is from RefSeq and is a predicted model, not a curated record.
GUAUAGGCUGGGUGUUCGUGUCCUGCUGCCCACCUCCUGAUUCAUGAGUUGAAGCUCUGACUCCCCGUGAUGGUGUCUGGAGAUGAGCCCUUGGGAGGUUUCCAUGAAACUAGAAUCUGAGACCUGCCACGGAGCAAGAAUGUUGUUUGGCUGGCUGAUCAGUGGUCUAAGAAUGAGCCGAAGAGCUGAGACAGGCAUUCCGGAAAUGGAGAAAUAACUAAUGCAAAUAAACCCACGGAGCCACUGAAGCAUGAUAGUCCGGCUGGGCAUGGCGUCCUGCACCGAUGCGAUUUUCUCUGAGAAACUGAAGACCCCUGGUCUCCUAGCUUCCAGUGUCAUUGAGAAAUUGUUCUGCUACUGGGUCUGCUGGCUGUGAAGCCAGCCUCCGCAUCCUGUGUCCUCCGUGCACCCCCUGGAAGACUCUAGGCCCCCUCUGUGCACCUGGUCCUCUGAGGUUUCAUGGUCACGUACUUAGGCCCCUAGCUCUGUGCUGGGCUCUAGAUGAUGGACCUUCAGUGUGGAAACAGGCCCUUCAGGUCUAGGACAGUAACUGGCACAAUAUCUUAUUUUUGCACAGCUGCCCUCCUUCUGUUCUCUCUUCUGUUUUCCCAAAACUUGUAUUGUUCUUGGACAUGUGACCUCCAGGACAAAUGCUCUAGUUUCUCUCUUUCCUAUUCUUAAUCUCUUUACCUUUUUAUUAUCCGUCCUAAGAGAUGUUUUUAUCAUCAUCUUCCAACCUUUCUAUUGAUUUUAAAUUCACGCUAUUAUACAUAUUUUUUGUUUCCUGCAUCUCCUCCCAGAACACUUCUUUUUUUGGCACCCUGUUCUGAUUUCCAUGGAUACAAUAGCUUCUUUUUAUCUCUCUGAGGAUAGUAACGAUAGUAUUUGGGAGCUUUUGCCUGCUCCCUGCCUCUGUUCACUUUCCUUUAUGUUGUGUUUUGCUUGGUGUGCGUGUUUCGCGUUGGAGACUUUCUUAAAUCUGUUGACCUUUGGCCUGGUGUUAGAGUGAAGCGUCACCCUGGAGACUGGGAGCUCCGCCACGCGGGCCAGGCUUUCCCCAUGGUAGGUUUCCCUGGGGAAUCGCAGGGCCAGGAGCCACGCUGAUCACUUGGGACCCCCACCCCUCUGCUGUGACGUAUCUUUCCUCCUGGCCAGUGUCUGCAGUGAGGGGACUGCCUGCCCCCCGCCCUGGGUGGUGGGGUGGGGAGAAGUACACCUAGACGCCUGCUUCUGGGAGCAGGUGGGAAGGAGGGCCAGGGAGAGGGGGCCUCACCAGGAACUCGUCACCUGCAGUCAGGCCCUGUUUACAGUCUGGUGCGCCCACUUUCAGGUCUCCCCGGGUCUCCCUCUGCAGUACCUGAACCUCCUUUCUACCUGGCUACGGCGGGGGUGGGCUCCCUGCUGCCUGCCGUCCGCCCUUCUCAUCCACUCCGGGCCAACCCUGUAGUUCGCUGCCCUGAGGGCCCUCGGUGCCUCCUCCUGAGCCCCUGGAUGCCGGGCGCCGAGGCCCGUGUUUCUGACCCCUCCUCCCGGCGCCCUCCGUGCUGCCCUUCGGCCUUGCUCUUUUCCAUCUGCUCAAUUUCUCUGGGCUCCCCUGCUCUUUGCUGUGGCUUCGGGCCUCCCUCGUCCCUUUAUUGCCACCUGUGUGGUUACAUCAGGGAAGAAGGAGAGGCACAUAUGUCUGUAAGUCCACGCUUGGCUGGACCCCGUCUGUCGUCUCAUUUCCACCCUUUCUGAAUCAUUUUAAGUGUUUGAAUGCUCUCCUUAAAUAACAAGCCAGAUCUUAACUCUCUUUGGCUUAAAAUCAAGGCUCAGGAGGUCUUCCCUCAGAGGCCUAGCCUGGCCUGGAGCCCCGCGUGACCUGCCUCCUGCCUCGCCUCCCCCGGGACACGCCCCCUUCCCUGACUUGUUCCCGCCCUGCUGGGCCUCGAACAUGCUGUUCCUCUGCAUGAAUGCUGUUCCCUUGUCUGCCCUUCACCUGAUUUCUUUCAUCCUUCCAUGCUCAUCUCUAACCUUUCUCCAGGCCAGGCCAGGUUCACCAGUACCUUCUCCAGUAGGCCCCUGACUGUAAUUUUAAACAUCCACGGGGUCUCUGGGUGUCGUGUCCUUCACUUAGGUGUUUGCUCUUGGCUUUAAUGACGAGUUUAGCUCAGAGGCAGAGCUGGGUCUGUGAGGCCAGGAAGUGCAUGUGUCUUUUUUAGUAUUGUGUCCCCACAGCUUAGCACAGGAAGGGUACUCAGAGAGCAGCUACUAGAGGAGUGAAGGAAUGAAUGGAUGGAUGGGUGUGCAUGUGGACCUGAGAGGGUGCCUGGCCCGGGGUCUGCUUGCCAUGGCUGAAGACACCGAGGCUCACUGACACGCCGGGAAGGCACACAUUUUCCCUAUGUAACGCUGAGGACAGUCUUCUGAGGAGGCCUCUGUCAGGCCCGGUGCACUGCCUGGGGGAAGAAAUUGGGGCUCAAAGAGUCCAGGCUUGCCUGACAUCACACAGCCAAGUCAAGAGUGGGGGCAGAGCUCAGGCUUUCUAUUUCCAAAGCCACUUUGUGCUGCCUUGGGUGGUCACAUUCACGUCGCAUGAGAUGGGAGAGGCCAGGAGAGCGGAGUCAGUGUGCGGGCUGGCUUUGGCUGUGGUAACAGCCCUGAACCUCAUGGCCUGCAGGUCACAUGUCACCGAUGGCUCUGCAGGUGGCCUGGGGCUCUGGGGGCCCCCUGCACUUGGCUCUGGGCUGAGGGCCAAGUUCACAUCUGUUCUGUAGGUUUUUCAUUCCAGGGUGAGGCUGAAGGCACCUCCACGCUCCAGGGCAUUCUGUGGUCCUGCGGCAGAGCAGAGCCCAAGAGGGCUGCUAUCAAUGCGCAGCCUUCCGGAAGCGUUGGACCCUUACGACGCAUCCAUUCACACUCCAUGGGCCAGAGUGUACCACGUGGCCAAGCUCA